Molecule: long non-coding RNA, 3062 nt
Organism: Helianthus annuus (common sunflower)
Lineage: Eukaryota; Viridiplantae; Streptophyta; Magnoliopsida; Asterales; Asteraceae
Exons: 5
Source: RefSeq, a predicted model, not a curated record
CUUUGGGAACCACCUGUCCCGUUUGCUUGUCACCCAGUUACACACAUAUCUACCACCGCUUGAAUACGUGUAAAGAAGACAUGGACUAUAGAGAAAGAAAGGCAAGUUCUGAGAUUUUUGCUUCCCAUCUCAAAUAUACCUCUGAAUUAUGGCCGUUGGUUCGUCACGGUGGUCUACCCCACGCAACGUAUUCCGGCAACCAUCUUUCUCACCGUCGGCUCCUCAUGCUAAACGUACUUUGGUUUAGUUAUCCCUGGAAUAAGGCCUUGCUUUGAUUUCCGGCUUCGAUGUUGGGUGGUUGUUGAUGCCAAUGGUCAUCAGAGUAUGGUGGUCGGUGGUUAUUCAAAGUGAUUUAGCUUUCUGCUUCAGCUGAUUGCUUAUCUUUUCAUCUCAUUUAUUAGGAAAUAUUUGGGUUUACGGCUUUUGAACAAGAUGUGGUAGUAGAAACCUGAACACACGUUUUUGGUCUCGAGUGAGUCUCGAGGCUAUGCUUUUGGAUAUACAACUUUUGGACAAAAGAUGGGCAGUUUGUAUCGGGUUAGAUUUCAGUGUUGAGAUUGCUUUGUUGACGUUGUUGUGCUGAUUGUUGUUAAUUGAAUAUAUUUAUAAACAUCAAUAAGUUGGAGAAAAAAAUGUGCUUUUGUGUGAGUGGUUGUGGUGUAGUAGGCACUCCAUUUUGGAUUUCUUGAUUAAGAUUUGCAGGAACUACUACUUGCAGCAAUUGGCAUGGUGGAUGCAAACUCCAAAUUAGGGGGUUAUGUGGUCUACUCCACAUGAGAAUGAAAUGUUAUACACUAUGCACUCAAGAAGAGGGAUGUGAAACAUGUGCCAUGCAUAUUAGACUUUGGUCGCCCAGGUAGGUUUGUUCGCUUUAGGAAAAGCCGAUUUCAUCCUUUGUUGGAAAAGACGAGACAUUUUUAUCCUCAUGUUCAUAACAUGGAUGGCUUUUUUGUGGCGAAGGUAUCCUGUCUCCCUCCACUUGAAAUUGCACAUAUAUUACAAGUGGCAAAUUAGGUACAUAAAAACUAACUAGAUGUGUCAAAACAUUAUCAGAAUACACGCAUGCUUAUACACACACACAUAUUUAUAUAUAGAAAGAGGGACAAGUUUUAUGCAUUAUCACUUUUGCCAAAUACCAUUAUUUUGCUGUUAAUGGAUCUCCGAACACCUCUGUAUUCUCUGAAUCUUGUGACAUCCCCAUAUUCUUUAAUAUUAGGUGUUUUCAUCAUCCCAAAUUGAUCCGACGCACUCCCCAAACUGCAUUUCAGACACAUAAAAUUCUCGAAAAAUUAUGUUACCAGUUUUUUCCCAACAAUCAUUCCAUUAUUUUAAUUUUUUUUGGAAUGAAUAGGGUCUUGGUCUCAAACGGUGAAAUUAAGGAAUUGGAUCAAUUUAGAUCUACUUUUUUUAAGAAGUUAUGAAGUUUUACAAUAGAACGUAUAUUUACAUAAUUAAUAAAUCUAUACCUUCAUAGAAAAUUGGUUUAAUUAGUUACAUACAUUUAAGUGUAAUCUUUCAAUUGUUAAAGUGAUUGUUGGUACUAUAACAAGUCAAAUCGGCACCUAUACAUUGAAGUUUAAUCUUUCAAUUGUUAUGCCAUUGUAACGAAUCAAAUCGACGCCGAUACGAUUAAGUUUAAUCUUUCAAUUGUUGAAACAAUUAUUGGUAUUGUAAUGCAUUGAAUGUUAAAGCGAUUGUUGGUAUUGUAAAAAAAAUUGGUAUUGUAAAAAAAAUACGCUGCAACGUCGGGUACUUCUUCUAUUUUGUUUAAUUUGUAAGCCCCCGACCGCAACGCGGCGGGGUUUAACCCUAGUUUGAUUUAUUUAACAUGUUCAUUAAAAGAAAAACCUUAUAAUCUGUGUUUCUGAUAAGUUCUAUUUUCUUGAAACAAAAUACAAAAUAAAUCAUAUUUCAAACCCUUUAUAUUGAUAAAUUUUAUUAAAAUGGGGUUUUCAAAAUUGCUUAUUGUUAAUUACUUAUUCUAAGGUCAAUUCGUUUGUGUAUAGUCAAUUGUUCAUUGUGAAUUGGUGUAUUGAUUGUAUUAGCAAAUUAGUUUGAAAAUAACACGAGAAUACCAACCGCUCUUAUUACAGACGAAACCUGCCGCAAAGUGCGGGGUUCCUUACUAGUUAUUACUAUAUACAUUUAGUGUAGUUUCUUAUAUACAGUAUAUAUAGAAAACCUCUUUUGUUACUUUAUUACCAAAAUGCCAUCAUUUUGUUUUUCAUUUAUUUUUGCACCACAAAGUUAAUCGGUGACUGAUAAGGGUGGUAUUUUUUGUCUUCUUUUUUGUUUUUGUACUAGAAUUUUGACCCUGCCGUGCGUUGCGGCGGCAACAUCACGUUUGUGGCUUACUCGCAAACUCUUCUUUCAAGCUUUUUUUUUUAAUGUUUGACGACUCCACAAAUUAUAGCAAGUUGAUAAUAAAAAAAUGUUAUGCCAAUAACAAUCCCAACCAUUAAUAAACCGAAUUAGGGCGUUUUAUUUAUUAAAAUAGAGUUUUUGGCCCACUUUUGAACCGUUUGACCAGUUCAAGCCCAUUUCCCCUGGGUCAAAACUAUGACCUCUAAAAAUUCAUGAUCUAUUCAUUCCAUUGUUACAUAACGGCAAUAUAUCACAAAAAUAUGCAAAUAAAAGCUAAAAGCUUACAUAAAGUACCUUAUGGUGGGGUAUAUACUGUUGCCAAGCAUAUCUUCAUGCUCCAAAAAGCAAGAUCAUUGAUCUAGGGGGAAGAUAAAUAGCACUCCUAAAGAAAUUUGGACUAUUUGUAUCUCACCACAGAUGCUCUAGACUCCACAAUGCAAGAUCCUAAGAAUGAAAGGCAGUAAAUUGAGCCCUCGAAUGUUGAAUGGGUAUCUACAUGCGGGAUAAACCCACACCUGUGGGGUAUUAGUUAACCUGUAUCAAAGUAUAGAAAAUAUCUUUAUUUCUCACAAAAAAUGGAAUUAGAAGGGGCUAAAUAAACAUUCCUUGGCUUACCAAUGGAGGUGGCAAAAUGGGACCGUUCGGCAACGGGUCAAAACGGGUAAUUUAGGCACUGUUUGGGUUGGCUCCCAAAACAC